RNAcentral lists this ribosomal RNA (405 nucleotides) under uncultured bacterium. RNAcentral's name for it is "partial 16S ribosomal RNA". It matches the Rfam family "Bacterial small subunit ribosomal RNA", at positions 30 to 526 of the family's 1533-position model. The record is from RNAcentral.
AUUGAACGCUGGCGGCAGGCCUAACACAUGCAAGUCGAGCGAGCGGCGGACGGGUGAGUAAUGCCUAGGAAAUUGCCUUGAUGUGGGGGAUAACCAUUGGAAACGAUGGCUAAUACCGCAUACGUCAAGAUAUCCUAGGUGGGAUUAGCUAGUUGGUGAGGUAAUGGCUCACCAAGGCGACGAUCCCUAGCUGGUCUGAGAGGAUGAUCAGCCACACUGGAACUGAGACACGGUCCAGACUCCUACGGGAGGCAGCAGUGGGGAAUAUUGCACAAUGGGCGAAAGCCUGAUGCAGCCAUGCCGCGUGUAUGAAGAAGGCCUUCGGGUUGUAAAGUACUUUCAGUUGUGAGGCGUUAGCAACAGAAGAAGCACCGGCUAACUCCGUGCCAGCAGCCGCGGUAAUUC